CGACUCAACUUCAAACGCGGAGCCGCCACUAUUCCAGCAACGCUUCAACCCCCUACUUCAAGCUACCCAAACCUCCGCUACGAUCAUCCUUCCUCCAUCUCCACAUUCACCUCCACCAUCUCCACCACUAUCACCACCAUCGAAAACGUGAACAGAUCUGGAGAUUCUAAACUUUAACAUAUCUGGAGAUUAAGUUUUCAC
Molecule: long non-coding RNA, 201 nt
Filed under: Daucus carota (carrot)
Lineage: Eukaryota; Viridiplantae; Streptophyta; Magnoliopsida; Apiales; Apiaceae
Description: long non-coding RNA (DCAR_LNC002992)
Source: RNAcentral